AAUGAAUGCUGGCGGCAUGGAUUAGGCAUGCAAGUUGAACGAGAAUCUAGCUUCGGUUAGAGGACAGUAGCGAAAGGGUGAGUAACGCGUGAAUGAUCUACCUCUAAGUUUGGAAUAACAGUUGGAAACGACUGCUAAUACCGGAUGUGAAUAUAAAGAUGCAUGUCUUAAUAUUUAAGGAUUUAUCGCUUAGAGAUGAGCUCGCGUGCCAUUAUGUUAGUUGGUAAGGUAACGGCUUACCAAGACUAUGACGGCUAGGUGGUCUGAGAGGACGAUCACCCACACUGGGACUGAGACACUGCCCAG
RNAcentral lists this ribosomal RNA (306 nucleotides) under uncultured Lentisphaera sp. RNAcentral describes it as "bacterial SSU rRNA". It matches the Rfam family "Bacterial small subunit ribosomal RNA", at positions 29 to 334 of the family's 1533-position model. The record is from RNAcentral. Lineage: Bacteria; Pseudomonadati; Lentisphaerota; Lentisphaeria; Lentisphaerales; Lentisphaeraceae.